This 415-nucleotide long non-coding RNA is filed under the name Capsicum annuum. Its description in RNAcentral is "long non-coding RNA (CANN_LNC001679)". Lineage: Eukaryota; Viridiplantae; Streptophyta; Magnoliopsida; Solanales; Solanaceae. The record is from RNAcentral.
GGAGGAGUCACAAAUUUCAACCACAAGCAAAUGAAUUAAAAUAUGUUCAAAGAAGGAAUAACAAAAUAAAAAGGCAAUACAUGUAGUAGUAGUCGUCGUUCAUGGAUAACCUACUUCAAAGCAAGUUUGCCAGAAUAGCCUAUUUCUUUCCAUUUCAUCAUCUUCCACAUCUAUAGCCCUACUACUACUUGAUACAUCUUUCUCUUCCACGAAACCUUUGCAAGCCUCUGCCUUUAUACUACAUUUGUGUCCAUCACCAUCAUUUUGUUCUUCUUCAUCAUUUGAACUGCUUAUAAGUUCAUCAUUAUCUUCUUCGAAGUAUACUUCUUCUAAAUUUCUAAGAUAAUCCCCGGUUUCAUAAUUGCUUGAUUCUGCAUCAUCCUCAAUUUCAUGAGCAGAAUUUUCUUGGUGAAUU